GUGCUGGCUUCUGCAGCACAUGUACUAAAACUGGAAUCAUACAGAGGAGAUUAGCAUGGCCCCUGAGCAAGGAUGACCUGCAAAUUCGUGAAGCGUUCCAUAUUUUU
Non-coding RNA from Pteropus alecto (black flying fox), 107 nucleotides. Lineage: Eukaryota; Metazoa; Chordata; Mammalia; Chiroptera; Pteropodidae. The record is from Rfam.